CAGGGUAAUCAGAUUAUCCUUGAGGUAUUUCAUGUUUUCUCAUGCUUUUAGAUUUAUUUUAGAAUCAAUAUUAGAUAAUAAAAUUAGAUCUAAAGAUUUGGAUCUAAAAUAAAUAUAAGAUAAAUUUUUUUAAAAUUAUUCCGCCUCAGAUUUGAUGAAAUCUGGAAGAUCCUACAAGGAAAAUGGUAGUUUUUCCUUCACAAACACAUUUGCACUAAACCCAAUUGAGAACUUGGGUUAAUUCAUGUACUAGC
Molecule: long non-coding RNA, 254 nt
Filed under: Elaeis guineensis (African oil palm)
Lineage: Eukaryota; Viridiplantae; Streptophyta; Magnoliopsida; Arecales; Arecaceae
Description: long non-coding RNA (EGUI_LNC054851)
Source: RNAcentral